CCGUGCUAGAUGGGGAGAUAGCGGCGCCCUGUAACCCGCAAUCCGCUCUAGCGGGAUUGAAUUCCUCAUUUGAGGCUUAUCUAUUGUUUGGCCUGCCCUUAACAAGUGGUGUUGACAGCUUGGUCUUGCGCAAUGGGAACCUGUGAACCAUGUCAGGUCCGGAAGGAAGCAGCAUUAAGCAGUGCUUCCCAUGUGCCGCGAGGUUGCCGGGCUCGAGCUAACUAUUAAGGUAACGCGAGUGAUAGUAAGUCGAUAUGAGGUGCACGG
Molecule: signal recognition particle RNA, 267 nt
Filed under: Listeria grayi
Lineage: Bacteria; Bacillati; Bacillota; Bacilli; Caryophanales; Listeriaceae
Also listed under: 1 other name
Description: signal recognition particle sRNA large type
Rfam family: Bacterial large signal recognition particle RNA
About the family: The signal recognition particle (SRP) is a universally conserved ribonucleoprotein involved in the co-translational targeting of proteins to membranes. Archaeal SRP consists of a 7S RNA and homologues of the eukaryotic SRP19 and SRP54 proteins.
Source: RNAcentral